UGGGAAUUAGUUCAGUUUGGUAGAACGCCUGAUUUGGGUUCAGGAGGUCGUGGGUUCAAAUCCUACAUUUCCAA
This 74-nucleotide transfer RNA is filed under the name Siphoviridae sp. cttFh17. RNAcentral's name for it is "tRNA-Pro". It matches the Rfam family "tRNA". From Rfam's summary of the family: Transfer RNA (tRNA) molecules are approximately 80 nucleotides in length. Their secondary structure includes four short double-helical elements and three loops (D, anti-codon, and T loops). Lineage: Duplodnaviria; Heunggongvirae; Uroviricota; Caudoviricetes. The record is from RNAcentral.